UAUCAUCGUUGAUGCUCACAAUCGCAUGGAGCCACCAUUGCCACCCAGCUAUUUCGGAAAUGCUACUUUUCGGGUAACUGCUGAAAGCACGUCAAGGGAGCUAGUCUCCAAACCAUUAGGCUAUGCUUCAGGUAAAGCACGAUAGGCAAUAGAGAAGGCAACGCAUGAAUAUUUACAAUCAUCUCUUGUGUAUGUGAAAUGUCAGGAGGAUGUAACUCAGUUCAAGAAUUUCCACACCGUUGGAUGCACCAAAGGAGCUUUCUAUGGGAACCUUAAUCUUAAUAUCACUAGUUGGGCCAGACUACCCAUUUAUGGGGCGGAUUUCAGGUGGGGCCAGGAAAUUUACAUGGGCCCAGGAGCAAUUGGCUACGAUGGGAAGGUUUUCGUAUUUCCCAACUAGGGUCAAGAAGGAUCAUUCCAUGUUGUAUUGAGGCUGCAAGUACGCCACAUUGACGCUUUCCAGAAAUUCUUUUAUGAAGACAUUUGUCUUCAAAAACCACUUUUAAUUAAUCCUUCAUUAUAAAAUAAAGAUAAUGUUGCAAUUUCCCUUGGAUCAGUUUUUCUUUGGUAGAUCUUGUUCAACAAAGCUACUCUUUAUCAAGCCAAAAAUUUCUUUUAUUUCACUCUGUAUUUUCAAUCUGAUUUUUCAGACACUUUCUCUCCUUACACAAAAAUGAAAAAAUGUUGUGUCUUCAGAAUUACGCACUCUCUGAAAAAUCAAAGCCCUUCACUCUGCUCUCUUUUCCUCGUAUAUAGUUCAUGUUAGAAGAGAAAAUAAUAGAAAAAGAAACGAACUAACUAAUCAUUUUAGAUAACUGACAGAAAUUUAUGAGUCACACUUAUAACAGAUAUAUACAAAUAGCUGAAAGAUAAGAUGGUAUAUAAGAAAAAACUAAAAUGUUACCAAGGCUACAUUUUUAAGAUAAAUCAUAAAUACAAGCUUGAGAUCAACCGUGUGAUAUAUUUUCAAACAUGCGCUCAUAGGCUGUGGUUGACUAAUUCUAUAUACACAAAUUUUAUCUUUUACAAAAUCAAUUAAUAAAAUUAAUUAUAUAUACACAGAAUGUAAUUUUACAUGUACAUUCAUAUGUUGUACGCGCAGUACAAUAGAGAGUUAUUUCCUAGCCCAAUUAUUAUUAUUUUUUUAGGAGUUUCUUCAAAAAAGAAAAAAAAAAAAAAACUCUAGAUUUUGGUUGUAUAACGUGGGCAAAGUUGGUCCUUUCCAUGUAUGGGUCGUUUCCAUGUCUACGUCAAAGUCAGGUUGUCUACUGUGGUAUUUUGAUUUGCCAAUUUCCUGGCGGGAGAAUUGUGUUUUCACCUCAAGGUGAAUAAUUAAACUAAAGUCCUCCUAUCACUCAUAAUUGAUUAUAAGAAUAUAAGAUGAUAAUGGACAUAAAUACCCCUUUACUCAUUUUUGUCUUUAUUCUACCACUCUUUACAUGUUAUUAUUAACACAUUCUCUCUCCUUUAACCAUUUUUUUAUUUUUCAUUGGUUUUUUUAAACUUUUUUAUAAAUAAUUGAAAAAUCAACAUUAUUUUAUAUUUUUAAAUUAUAAAUAAACAAAAAUUAUAUUGAUGAUUCAAAAACUAUUUUGAAAAAUACUUUCUAAAAAAUGUUAAUUUUAAAAAAUAAAAAUUAUCUUUUAUAUUUUAGAAGUAAAUAAUUUAAUGAUUAAAACACUAUUUAAAAUAAAUAUAUUCACUAUUUUAUUUUCUUUUAUACUAAAAAGUAUUUUAAAAUUUUCUUUUUCCUAUUAUAAAAUAAAAGGUUCAAUUUUUUAUUUUUUUUAUUUUAAAAAAAAUUAUUUCUUUCUUCUUUUAAUAACUUUUUGAACAUAACUUUUAGUAAUAAGUUAUAUGAAAUGUUGUAAAUUUGUUUAAUAAUAAUGAUUUGAAUUAAUUAAAAAUUUAUCAAAAAAAAAUGUAAAAGAGAGAAAUAGGAUGGAUGAAAAGUUUUUAUUUUAAAUAUACAAUUAAAAUAUUUUCAUAUGACUUAAUUUUAGAAGUUAAUUAUAACUAUAUAUAGUAUAUAUUGAUUUUUUUCUUAAAUAAAAGGGUUAAAAGGUAUAUUUACUCAUUUCAGAUAAAAAAAAUUAAAAAUUAUAUAGAUUAUGUUUGAGUUUGGUUUAAAAAUAUUUUUCUAGUUUUUAUUUUUUAUUUAUUAUUAUUUUUUAAAAUAAUUUUUAUUUUCUAUAUGGUCUCUUUUAGAAAAUAUGUUUAAUUAAAAAAUGAAAACUAUUUUUAAAAAUGAAAAUUGAAAACCUUGUUUAAUACUAUUUUUCAUAUGAAAAUAAUAAAAAGACUUAAAAGAGUUUAAUCCUAAGUCAUACGUUUUAUUUAACUUCCAUAUGGAAAUUUCAAUACUUUCUACGGUAAUGAUGUUUAGAGAAAAAAAUUUGACCCUAAGUACCAUUUUCUCAACCAAACCAUUGAAAAUAUGAUUAACACACCUACGUAAACACAUAACUUAGAGAGAUAUGAAAUUUGUGUCAUUGUACAAGGGUAUUACACUAACUGUACAAUGAAAAUGUACUAAGUGUACAAGGGUGUAUAAGGCUACCUUUUGUAAAAGAUUUGAAUCGAUUAUGAACCACUCCAUUUUACUUUCCUUGUUGCCAACAUAUUGUACACUCAUAUCAUACACUUUAUUUAACUCUCACAUAAAAAUUUCAAUAUUUUCCCUAGUAAUGAUGUUUAGGGAAAAAAAAUUGACCCGAAGUCAUCUAAUAUAUAUUUUCUCAACCAAACAAUUAGAAACAUGGUUAACACACUUACGUGGAUACAUAAUUUAGAAGGAAUAUGAAACCACUGUACAAGGGUGUUACAUUAACUGUACAAGGGUGUUACAUUAACUGUACAAGGGUAUUACACUAAUUGUACAAGUGAAAUAUACUAAGUGUACAAGGAUGUACAAGGUUAGCAUUUGUGAAAAUUUUCAAUCAAUUAUGAAUUACUCCUUUAUUUUCCUUGUCACCCAAGAAUUGUAUACUUAUUACACUAAUUGUACAAGGGAAAUAUACUAAGUGUUACAAGACUAGUAUUUGUGAAAAAAUUCAAUCGAUUAUUAAUUACUCCUUUAUUUUCCUUGUUGCCCAAGAAUUGUAUACUCAUGUCAUACACUUUAUUUAAUUCUCAUAUGGAAAUUCUAAUGUCUUCCCCAAUAAUGAUGUCGAGGGAAAAAAAAUUUAAUCAUAAGUCAUCCAUAAUUUUCUCAACCAAAUGAUUAAAAACAUGCUUAACACACCUACAUAGACACAUAACUUAGGAAGGAAAUGACAUUUGCACCACUGUAUAAUAUUAUACUAAUUGUACAGGGGGAAUGUGACAAGUGUACAAGGGUGUACAGGACUCCUAAUAGGUUUUGUAUGAUUUUUAAUCAACUUGAAUUUGACAUUAGAACAAUUAUCGAUAGUUUUUUUUUUUUCUCUUUUUUGUUUUUUUUACCAAACUAUGCCAUUAAGACCAAUGAGAAAUAAUAUACAACAUAUUUAUUAUUUUUUAAGUAAGAAACAAAAAAAAUAUUUGCUAAGGUAUUUAAAAAAUAUUUAUUAUAUAUUUUAUAAGUUUGAAAAAAAAAUUUAAUGAUGUCGAAUUUGCAAGUUAGAACAAAUAAAGAAUACUAAUAUUUUAUGAAAUAUUUAAAAAUUGUUUAAUAUAUAUAAGAAAUAAUAUAAGUUUGAAAUAAAUAAUAAUAUUUAUUAUAUAUUAUGUAAGUUUGAAAAAAAGAAUAAUAUUUAAUAAGGUAUUUAAAAAUUAUUUACUUCAAAACUGCAUUUGACAAUAAUAAUUUUUAAUUAUUUAUCUUUCAUAUUCAAUUUGUUGGAGAAAAAUAAUUGGUAAAUCAUUUAACUUGAUCCCACUAAUAAAUAAGUAAGAGAAGGGUGAAAAAAUCAAAGAAAGAAAAGAGAAAGGUAGGAGUGGCUGGUAGCUUUUUCAUUUGAUAGUUAAGGGUAUUUUAAGGAUUUUUGAAUGGCAAUAUCCUUCUUCUCAAUUUCUAUUCUUUCCUUAGGUUUUGAAUUUAAUUAUAGGUGAUAGGAGGACCUUAUCUCAAUUAUCCAACCCAGCUGGGGUGGAAACACAAUUCUCCCUUUCUUGCCCAGCUCAGCAGAAAUUUGUCUGUCUUUUAAGGUAGAGUGCACUGCCAUCAUUGCAUUAUUUUAUUUUAUUGAGGAUAGUAUCGAAAAACACCUUCGUUGCCUUAUCAUUUUCCUAAUAAUGCAAGUAGUGCAACUCAACAACAUCAAAUAGAAAGUACUGAUGUUAAGUGCGAAUAAUGCAAGUAGUGCAACUCAACGACACCAAAUAGAGAGUACUGGUGUUAAAUGCAACCGUUGUUUCUUCAUGGCCACUAUGUUCAACAACUAGUCUCAAGCUUUACAUGUGAAAUUUAAUUCCAACUUUUAAAUAAAGAAAGAAAUAUGCUAUGGUAAAAAUAAUAAUAAUAAUAAUAAUAAUAAAAUAAAUAAAAUGAAAUUAUGUAUAAAGAAAGACUUAAAACAUAAAUGAAUGGAUCAACUAAUGUUCUGUUAAAGAAUUCAGAAGAAAGAAAUUUUUAGAUAGAUGAAUUGAUUUUCAUUGAUUGAUUGUGAUAAUAUAAAGGAGUUUCAAUCAGGGACGAAAAUAUCGCGAUAUAUCGUGUAUUGGGAGGUUCCGACACGAUAUUUUCCAACUGAUAUAUCGAGAAGGAGAAAUAUCGAAAAAUAUCAUCGAUAUAUCGACGAUAUAGAGGUUGUAGUUGAUAAAUCAACUAUUAAUGAAAAAAAUCACCUAUGAAUGCGAAAAAUCAUCGAUAUUUCAGCAAAAAAUCACCUUACAUUGUGAGCGUGAUCUGACGGCCCAAAUCAUGCCCGCAUUGAUCCGAUGCCCCAUAUUACACCCACGUUGAUCCGACGCCCCAAAUCACGUCCACGUGCAACAAUCAACUUCCUCGUUUGAUUCAAUGGCUAAGAUGACAAUCCAACAACUAUUUUGUGAGCCAACGGUAAAAUGAUGUUUGAACAACUUUUUUGGCCCAAAUUUUUGUUUAUAAAUAGUUCAUUUUGGAUCUAUUUGAUCCCCAUUUUAUUGCAUUUGAUCUCUCAUUGCUCAUAAUUUUUUUUUUAUUAUUUUCAAAUUAUUAUAAAUUUGGGAAAUUUCUAAGGUGACUCAUUUAUUCAACUAUUCUAACGUAUGUUUGUUUUAAAUUCUAAUUAAUUUUGUUUUUCAGUUGUAAUUAAUUAAUGUAUUUUCAAUUCAUUAGUAUAUUUUCUAAAUUAUCUAAUAUCACAAAUCAUAUCAUACAUAUAUCAAAUUCUUCAACAAAACAAUUUUAAAAUGUCUAUUAUAUUUCUAAUUACAUUAUUAUGAGGUUUUUCUUACUUUUUCAUGAGUUUUGAACAAUUUUAGGCCUAUAGAAAUUUUUUUUCAAAAUAUCCGCCGAUAUAUCUGUAAAAUCAAAGUAUCGAUAUAUUCGUGAUUACCGAUUUUUUUAUCCUUGGUUUCUAUAUUGAGAGAAUAAUACAACAAACUCUCAUUGGGUUAGUUCCAAAUUGUGGCAUUUAGUAACCAAUCCUAACAACUUACAAAUGAGUUGUCCUAACAUGCUCCCUCAAACUUAGGUAGUAAAAUCUUUUACUUUAUGUUUGUUUUUGAAAUUGAAAAACAAUGAACUCAACACUACCUUGGUAAGUAUGUCUACAACUUGAUCUUGAGCAAGGAUGUGUCUUACAUCACCUUGUUUGGUGAGAACUUUUUUUCCGACGAAGUAUAAAUCCAAUUCUAUAUGUUUUUUACAUGAAUGUUGGAUUAGGUUGGCUGCAAGUUGGAUUGUACUUAGAUUAUCACACCAAAUCAUGAUUGAAGUCUGCAACUUAGUCAACUUAAGUUCUUGUAAGAGAGAUUGAAUCCUUAUGAUUUCUACUACCAUACUGGCUAAACUUUUGUACUUCGCCUUUGUAUUGGAUCUUGCUACCGUUUGCUAUUUCUUAGAGUGCCAAGAAAUCAAGUUAGGACUUUGGUAGACACAAUAUGCUAAAGUUAAUCUUCUAUCAUUUUAAUCUAAUACCCAAUCGACAUCACAAAUGCCUAUCACAUUCAAAUUAUUGGAUUUAUUCAAGUAUAGGCCAAAAUCCAAGGUAUCACUUACAUACCAUAGUAUCCUCUUAAUUGCCUUCCGAUGAACUUCCAUAGGAUUUUGCAUGAAUUAACAAACCCUAUUAACACUAUAGGCAAUCUCUAGCCUAGUUAUCAUUGCAUAUUGUAAUGUACCAACUACACUUCGAUAAAGUUGUGGAUCUUGAAUAGGAUGACCACCGUAUGCUAAAAGUUUUAGGCAUGUUGUCAUAGGAGUAGUCAAUGGUUUAGCAUAUUGCAUUUUAGCUUGACGUAGAAGAUCGGUGAUAUACUUGGUUUGAGAUAAAUGCAGCCGUUCACUAGUUUCUUUAACCUAAAUGCCCAGAAAAUAGGAGAUAGGUCGACGGUCCUUCAAAGCAAAGUCGAAGUUCAAGCUGGUGAUAAGUUGCCUACACCUAAGUGAUCACUUCCGGUUCCAUGAUUUAUUAUAUGAAAUUAGAAUGUCCUACUAACCACCUGUGGAUUCACCUAGCAUUAUUAUUUUUUAACGACCACAUUUAUCAAACACGUCAAAGAGAGAAAUUAAGUGACUCCAUGUUGAACACUAUAAAAAUUCUUGCAUGAAAAGCAAUAAUUUGAAGUAAAAAUAUAAAACAAAAAAAUAAGUAAAAUAAAAUAUAAAUAAAAUUUUUCUUAUGGUUAGAAAAGUCGUAUAUAUAUUUAUAUUAUAUAUGAGGCUUCUUUCAAAUCUUAAGAAUUUUUUUAUUAACAUAAAGAUUAUUUGAAACAUUCCAUUUUCUAGGUAUCAAAAGAACUUUAUUAUCACAAGAUUAUUUUUGUAAGAAUUUUUUUAGAAUCAUGAUGAAAGAAGUAAGUGAAUGUUUGGUAAAUCAACUUAAUAAUUUAAAUUCACUUAAUAACUUAAUUUAAGUUAAUAAGUAAAUUAAAUUUGUUCGGUAAAAUAACUUAAUAAUAUGACUUAAAAUAAAAAACAACUUUAAAUAAUAAGUAAAAAUAAUUAAUUUAUUCUUAAGUUUAUAUUUUCAUUUUUACCCUUUUAUCCUUAUGUAUCCUAGUUACUUCCAUGAUAUUUUUUGCUAUUUUAUAACCUCCAUUAUUACUUAACCUCUUUUAUCUUAAUUAUAAUUUAUGAGGAUAAAUAUAUGAAUUUGAAGAUUUAGAAUAAAUUUUAAGUUAAUUUUAUCAAACAACCUUAAUAUUUAAAAAGUAAGAGUUAAAUAAUAAGCUCUAAGUCAACAACUUAAGUAUGACUUAACUUAAAGUCAACUUAAAUCAUUAAAUAAUAAGUUUUAAGUUUUAUCAAAUACGUCCCAAAUAUAGAACUUUAUUUCAAGAGCAAAAAUAUGAAAGGAAUUACUUGAAUUUGAGUGCAAACAAUUUUUUUUUCCAUUUUUAAACAUAUAUAAAAUGAAAAUGAUAAGUUUGACUUUUUAUUAAAAUAAAACAAAAAACUAUAAUAAUAAUAAAAAUAAAACUUAGAUGAUUUAGUUCUUUUUUUAUUUUUAAAAGUAGAAAUUUUAGAAACUUUAUGUUUGCAUUAUGUACUUAAAAAUUAUUUUGAUAAUAAAAAAAUUUAAUACCUUAAUUUUUUUUAAUUAAUUUUAAAAAUCAUUAUAUUUUCAAUUCAAGCUCUAAAAGUUUUUGUAUUUGUUUAUAAAAAUUAGGGUUAUUUGAUUAAAGGGUUAUUGAAAACUCAAUUUUGAAUAUUUAACCAUUUAUCCUUUUUUUACUUCAUUUUGAUAAAAAUAUCCUCAUUCUUUUUCUUUUUUUUAAAUAAAUAACAAAUUUUAAAAAAAAAUUUACAUAUAAAUACUUGAAAUGAUAAAGGGUAAUUAUAUAUAUAUAAUGUAUUAGGUUUUAAAUAAAAAUAUAAAAAGGAGUAGAUUUACAGGUUUGGAGAUUAUUUUAUCUAUUUUAACUAGUGUUUUAAAAAUAGAGGUUGAUCGGUCUGACCUAUCACCAAUCCAAUCCGAUUCGGCCUUUUAAGCCAGAUAGCUGUUGAACCGGCGUCAAACCUUCGAAACCGAAAGUCGAACCACUGAAUCGAACAGUUCAAAAAACCCUCAUCUCUUUCCCCUAUCCAGCUCCCUCCUCAAUCGUCGUCGCCCCCUUCUUUAUUCUCAAAUUUGUAACUAUGCCUCCACCCUCCAUCUAUUUCCAAUUCCUAGUGUGCACUCCUCACCCUCCCUCUCUUCCCAGUCCUAGCAUGUGCUUCUCCCACACUCCCUUUCUUCCUAGUCCCAAUGUACGCCUCUCUAUGGUGCCACCUGUGGGGGCCCUUCCCCACACGUCUGUCCACAUGUGCCUCCACGUAUCUAGAUACAUGGUAGCACCUCUCCUGGACCACGUGUCACUCCCUUCAUUACUAUUCGGACAACCAUCAAGGCAUACAGGAACAUUCUAUCUAAACCAUAUAGGCUCACUAAGCAUAACACACCUUCCUGAUAACCCCAAAUCCUCUCUAAUAUGUGAAAUGAUGGCAUUCUGACGCUUAAGUGGCUGAUGGGACCUUCCCCUUCCAUACAUUAACAUCAAUGAGUCAUCCUAGCCAUCACCCAUACCUUCAACAAGUUGAAUGAUGGCAAGCUGCGCCAUGACACGCCGUCUAACACAACCACUAGCCGUCUGGCAACUGCAAUUAUUGCUAUGUCACUUACUACACAGUCAUCAUUGCAGCAUUAGGUCAAGGUGCUAGCUAAUCACUACUGUGUUUUCCCCAUUUAAGCACUAUAAAAACCCCACUGAAAUAGGACUCAGGUACGCAACACCAAGGACUCCCUCAUCUACUUUCUCUUAAAGGGUUCCUACCCAUUUCAAUAUCUGACCUAAGCUUCGGAGAGUGUGUCCAGACAACCUGUCUAGGCAUCCUUUGUGCAAGGAAGAAGAAAACCCAGUCUCUAGCAGCUGGGCAGAAGCUUUUGCUGCCACAACCAAUGGAGAAGUCCAUUCUCAGUUGACCUGGUAUCAACAUAGGCAUCGUCUGUGGGAAUAAGAUAAAGAUGUCAACACCCUCAAGAAGUCGAUCGUCAGCCAUGGGUAGGCGCAAAAAUAUGGAGAGACGCCAAUGAGAAAGUGAGUGAUAAAUGCAAGCCUUGCUCCAUGAGACAAGGAGGCUUAGGGAGGAGAACGAGGUGUUGCGUAUCCAAGUGUCUUCAUCGGGCUCUCCUCAUAGCCGACAACCUAGAAGUCAGCAAAUGAACUUCAAGCAAAACGAGGAGGCAUCAUAUCCUAGGAAUGCAAAGUUCCCCUCUGAUGAAUAAGAAAUGCAGCCUAAGGAAAUAUCCCCACUAGCCUGCCACGCGCCACUAGAUGAAAACUCUGAUUCCACUCAUGUCUCAUAAAAAAAAAAAGACACAAUAGCAGGUCACAGCUAUCAGAUGCAAUGCGCGCAAGACUAGGGCCUCAAAUGCCUGGUAUGAGGGAAACCCACAUGUAGUAAUGGCCCAGGAGGCAUAUCCUGGUCCCUCGGCUACACCAAUCAUGACAGAUUGGCUUUCCCAUUCGCUAACACAACAACCAGUAGCGGAUCUAACAAAUCAAGGUCCCCUUGACUCUGUCAAUAAGCUACUGGAUAACAUGUUCUUCACGCCUUUCAUCCCUUACAACAUCAACUACGAGCCCCCAAGAGGGUUCAUGGUCCCAAAGUUUUCCACGUAUGACGGAACCAGCGAUCCAUUUGACCAUAUCAUGCAUUACAGGCAACUCAUAACCCUUGAAAUAGGGAAUGACGCGCUGUUGUGCAAGGUCUUUCAAGCUAGCCUCCACAGCCAAGCUCUUUCAUGGUGCCACCGCCUCCCGAUGAAUUCUGUGAAUAAUUUUCGGGAUCUAUCGGAGGCCUUUGUGGGACAAUAUUUAUGCUCAGCAUGACAUAAGCAAAACAUCAGUAGCCUACAGAACAUAAAGAUGCAGGAGAAUGAGUCAUUGAGAGAAUUUGUGAAGAGGUUCGGACAAGUCGUGCUUCAAGUAGAAUCUUGUAGCAUGGACGUUGUCCUUCAAAUUUUUAAAAGAAGUAUCUGUCCAGGUAUACCCUUCUUUGAAUCUCUCGCCAAAAAACCUUCAGCAACGAUGGACAACUUGUUCAAACGAGUGAACAAGUACUCCAUGCUUGAGGACGACAUCCACGCAGCUACUCAGCAGGCCCUGGUCACCAGUCGGAAUACUAGGAACGACUCAGACGGGAGCUCUAAGCCCAUAAACUAAUGGAGGCAAACUAGUAAGGGGCAGGGCAAACAAUAACAGCUAACCCAAGCUAGCCUCACCCUCCUCAACAUCUCAUACGAAAAACUUCUCCCCAUGAUCUGAGAUUUGUCCGAUUUCAGAUGGCCACAGCCAAUUAAGGCAGAUCCGGAGAAACGAGAUCGAAGCAGAAAAUGUGUUUAUCAUAAAGACCAUGGUCACACCACAAAGCAAUGCAAAAGUCUCCACUGCCUAGUAGAAAUAGUACGUCCGCUCAGAGGGAAGACAUUGAGCCAAGCCCCCACAAAUUUGACUGCCCCUAGAACCGUAAUCAACUACAUUCAUGGGAGUGUCGUGGAUGAGAAAUACAAUUUUAAAUGGAAAAGACAAAUGUUACUUCGAGUCGCCUCUGUAAGAGAACAGGUUAGCUCCAUCCAACCUGACUUGCCCAGUGGGGGCACGAGCCCAAUAGAUGGGGUAAUUACCUUCCCUCUAGUAGACCCCAAUCAGGUGUUACAGCCCCAUGAAGAUGCUUGAUCUUGACACUGGGAAUCAUCGAUUUCGAUGUAAGGUGAAUUUUGAUUUAUCCGGGUAGUUCAGUCGACUUGUUACAAAUGUUCGCGUACAAACAAAUGGGGUUCCCAUCAUCUGCCCUAGAGAACCCCGGGUGGAUACUAUUAAGAUUCAAUGAAGCCUCAACCACUUCUCUAGGAGAUGUCGUGUUACCUGUCCAGGCUAGACCAGAUAUCCAGAAUGUGCAAUUCUUAGUGGUGGAAGACUUGUCCCCUUUCAAUGCUAUCAUGGGACGCACCUGGCUACAUGGCAUGAAGGUCAUCCCUUCUAUGUAUCACAAAAUGGUAAGUUAUCUAACCGACGACAGACAUAUCAACCUUUUUGGCAGCCAGCUAGCUGCACGACAAUGUUAUUAGAUAGCACAUGAAUCUAGAUCCUCCAAAGAUAAUAAAUUGCCCACGGAACAGACUAACAUGGAGCAAUAAUAGCAAUUAUAGAGCCCGGUAGAAAGUGAUCCAUCGGCAGCUGACCUACUCCUACCCUUAUGUCUUUCUCAUAACAAUGAAUGUGUUACUCAUGUCAACUCCCUACAAGCACCUGAAAAAUGUGAAGUACUCAAAGUAGUGCUUUGGCAAAAUGAGGAGGUCUUCGUGUGGACUCAUUUUGAUAUGCCCGAAAUCCACCCUUCAAUAGCCUCAUAUCAACUAUAUAUCAUACCUUCUUUGCGGCCUAUCCGACAAAGGGUCAGACGCUUCCAUCCGGAGAGGCAAAAGAUCAUCCAAGCUGAAGUGGACAAGCUACUGGCAAUUGGGUUCAUCAGGGAAGUAGAAUAUCUUGAUUGGCUAGCAAAUGUUGUUGUGGUCCCAAAGAAAUGAGGGAAGUGGUGAGUCUGUGUUGAUUACACUAACCUAAAUGAUGCCUACCCAAAAGAUAACUUUCCUUUGCCCCAGAUAAAUCAGAUAGUAGACUCCACUACUGGGCACGGGAUGCUCUCUUUCGUAGAUGCUUUUUAUGGAUACCAUCGGAUUCCUAUGUUCCAACUGAACAAGGAGAAAAUCGCCUUUGUGACACCACACGGGUUGUAUUGCUACAAAGUCAUGUCGUUUGGACUCAAGAACGCUAGAGCCAUCUUCUAAAUGCUAAUGACAAAGAUUUUCAAACCACUAAUCAGCCACACAGUAGAGGUAUACAUCGAUGACAUUGUAGUAAAGAGCAAAACUAGAAGUAAACACACCCAACAUUUAGAAUAAACUUUUCACUUGAUGAAAAUGUACAACAUGAAGCUCAACUCGGCCAAAUGCGCCUUUGGAGUCAAUGCAGGUAAAUUCAUGGGAUUCAUGGUAACACAAAGGAAUAAAAGUUAGUUUGGACCAAAUCAAAGUUGUCAUGGAAACACCCACCCCAAAUUCUAAGAAGGAAUUGUAGUGUCUCACUGGCCGCCUAGUCGCACUAGGACGCUUCAUAGCCUAUUUCACAAACAAGUUAAGGUUUUUCUUCCUCACACUAAAAGGAGCUAGCGCGACAGGAUGGACAAACAACUAUGAGAAAGCAUUUGAGGAGAUUAAACGCUAUCUCACACAGCCACCAUCCUGAGUAGUCCUCAACCCGGUGAGCAACUGUACAUGUAUCUAACAGUAUUUGACUGGGUUGUCAGUGUUGUGCUCUUUUGCCACGUGAAAGACAAGUAACAGAGGCUCAUCUACUACGUGAGCAAAUCAAUGGUUGAGGCGGAAGCUCGAUACUCCAAGAUGGAACAAACAACUUUGGCUUUGAGAAGUGUUGCACAAAAACUUUGCCCUUACUUUUGAGCCCAUCAGAUGACUAUACUCACAAACCAACCACUUAGAAGAAUUUUACAUAAAACCGACUUAUGUAGGAGGAUGCUGAAAUGGGCCAUAGAACUAAGUGAGUAUGAGAUCAAAUACCAGCCUAGACUGGCAAUGAAGGGACAGGUCAUGGUGGACUUUAUAGUUGAGAUUCCUUAGAAACCAUCACAGCUUGUAGAUUCUCUUAAAAAUGGAUGGUGGAUACUUCAUGUUAAUAGAGCAUCCGGGGUCUCUAAAGCCGAAAUAGGCCUUCUCUUACAAUCCCCAACCAGAGAACAAUUGGAAUAGGCUAUCAGGCUUGGGUUACUUGCCUCCAAUAACAAAUCAAAGUAUGAGGUAAUCCUAGUCGGGUUGAAUCUUGCUCUUACUUUAUCGACAACUGAGUUGGAAAUAUGCGGCGAUUCCCAGCUAGUCAUUGGACAAAUUUUGGGAUAAUACGAAGCCAAGGAUGAACGCAUGACCCGAUACCUUUCAAAGGUACAAGCAAAUUUAAAUAAACUAAGCAAAUGGGUCGUCAAGAGAAUCCUCAGCACAGAAAACAUAUAGACUGACGCCCUAACUAAGAUAGUUGCUACUCUCCCGAUAAAAGAAGUCGUAUUACUACCCGUCUACCUCCAAGCUACAUCGUCAAUGGCAGACGGUCCAAUAUGCAAUGCCAGUGAAACAGAUGUCAACUGGAUGCACGAGAUUGAGGCAUAUAUCCGGACAGGAAAAUUACUUGAAGAUAGAAAGCAAGCUCACAAAAUCCGGGUACAGGCGCCGCCUUCACUCUAAUCGAAGACAGCCUUUACAGGCGAUCUUUUGGAGGAUCGUACUUCAAAUGCUUAAAAUAUGCAGAAGCAUGGUACGUAUAGGUCGAGCUUCAUGAAAGUGUGAAUGGCAAUCACAUAAGCGAAUGUACCUUAGCGCAUUGUGCUCACUCACAAGGAUACUUUUAGCCCACCAUAGGACAAGACGUUGAUAAAUAUGUCAAAAAGUGUGAUUGAUGCCAAAGGUAUGCACCUAUUCCUCGUAUGCCCUCCAAGAUCCUCAAUUCAGUCACGAGUCCUUGGCCAUUCGUACUAUGGGAAAUGGAUAUAAUUGGCCCCCUACCUGUUGCAGCUGCAUAGAAAAAGUUUCUACUUGUAACCACGGAUUACUUCAACAAAUGGGUAGAGGUAGAAGCUUAUGCUAACAUCAAGGAUAGGACGUUUCCAAGUUCGUCUAGAAAAAUAUCAUCUACCAGUUUGGAAUCCCACAAGCAAUUGUAGCUGAUAACAGGCCGCAAUUUGAUAGUAUCGCCUUUAGAACCUUCUACUCGGAGCUAAAGAUCAAGAAUUUAUACUCCACGCCACAUUACCCUCACAAUAAUGGACAAGCGGAGGCAACGAACAAAACUCUACUCUCUGGGCUGAAGAAAAUACUAGAAAAAGCCAAAGGAAAAUGGGUAAAUGAACUACCCGGAGUUUUGUGGGCUUAUCGAACGACACCUGGUUGACCAACGAGAACCACUCACUUUGCUCUCGCCUAUGGAAUGGAGGCAAUUAUCCCAUCCGAGAUAGGCAUGCCCACAACCAAGACGAUCAUCCAAGGCCAGAGAUACGAGAGUCGGGAGCUUGAAAGACACCUAGAUUGGGCAGAUGAGGCAAGAGGGAAUGCAGUCAUCCGGAUGGCAUCCUAUCAGCAAAGAGCUAUUGCCCACUACAAUAGGAAGGCUUAGUCGCGCACUUUUAGGACUAGGACUCUAGUCUUCAAAAGAGUCUUUGAAAACACGGCUGAAAGAGGGGUUAGAAAACUUCAGCCAAACUGGGAAGGACCCUACGUAUUAUUUAAGGUAGAAGACUCAGGGGCUUACCCUCUGCAAAUGCUAGACGGAGUGCCCCUGCUCCGCCCAUGGAAUGUAUCUAACUUGAAGCAAAACUAUCAGUAAAUUGGGUUUAAGGAAAGAAGAUUUAGUAAGAAAACGCAAGUAAAAAGAAACAAGUCUGCAUUGAUAGAAAGUGUUCAUUACAAGGUCGUGUCCAGAUAAAACAAUAAACGAAAAAGGGAAAAAAAAAAGUGCAAGAAUACAAUCAUUGCUCGUCGAAGGGCCUAACUGCAUCUGAAUCCUUAUCUCCCUAGGCGGAGUUGCUGAUUAUUGCAUCUUCCUCAUCGGAAGGGUAGUUGGGGAUAUCAUGAGUAAUGUCGUUCUUCCUCAUACAGUAUUGGUAGCCGAAGAAGAACAUAUCAUCAACUUGCUUAUGAUAAUCCUCCUCUAGCUCAUUCUUCUCGGCAGCAAACUCUACCCGAAGCUCCUCUAGCUUAUUCUUUCCUUGCAUCGGAAGUCAUUCCAAGCUCCUCCAGCUCUUUCUUCAGUUGGUCUUUUUCCUGCUCCACAUUCUUGCACUUAGCCUCCGUAGUCUCCAUUUCUUCUCUCAUCUGGCACACCUCGGCUUUCACUACCUCCCUUUCCUCUUCUAUCUCCUUCAACAACUUUCCUCUGUCUGUGAUAGCUUUCUGAGCGGCAACCGGGUCAUUCUCCGCCCGCUUAAGUUGGGUAUGGAGCUCUUCGUUGCUAUCCAGUUGCUAGGUAAAAAAUCCCCUCAUAGUCUCCUCGACCUCCAACCAUUUGAAGAGUAGGGCCUACUGGCGCAUUAAGUUACGAAUAGCAAUCACUACUUGAACGACAUUAAAGCAAAUGUUAGAAGUCAGACACUGAGGAAACUUAAACUAAGAAGGAGCAAGCCUUACCACUUCCGUCGUCUCAACAGUAGUGUACUACUGCAUCAGUUGAAUACAGAGGAAAACGGAUUCCAAAGUGUCAUGAGGGAGGCGAGGUGCAGCAGUUAUUAGGGGGUUGUCGGGCAUGUCAACAAAAUACUAACGGGUAAGCAGAAAGAAAUCACCCAUAUCAAUUGAAAGGGGCUCAAGCAUAGUGAAGUAGGUGACCUACUUCAACAAUGCCGCUAUCUCUUCCCGAGCCAGAAACGGGAGAGCUAACCGAGGCAUCUUUGUCAGUGAGAUCAUUACCCAGAGUUUGACUAAUAGAGGUCUUUUCUUGCACUGGGCAGGCGUUCUUCUCAACAAAAAAACUCACGACCAACGCUUGGUCGGACCCAACAACAUCAGAUGGAGGCAUCAUCACCAGAUGAGCAUCCGAGACCGGCAUUUUAGGAGAGACCUCAGAGCAAGUCCUCUUAGCAGGUAAAGGGGCAACUAGAAGUGACUCAAAGAGGCAUUUACGCUACCUCUCCUUGAAACCAACCCUUAGGUUAGGUGUCAUUUAUUCUUCUUCUUCUUCUUUUUCUGGCUCAAGGAUGAUGCAAGGCGCCAUUGGCUCAAGCUCCUGAUUCGGAUUGGCCCCUAUGAAGGGUGAGCCGGUUAAGCCCUAAUCGGUGUCUGCAUCAGAAGAAAGCAAAUGAGAAAAAGCAAAUGGAGAUAGGUCCAACGCCUUCUCGAUAGGGCGAAAGACAGCUUCCUCUUAGUAGGGGAUGAGUAGUAGAACUGGUGGUCGGACGACUUAUGCCCGGAGCUUGUCUUAGAGUCCUCUUCUGACACUUUUUCUCUCUCUAAUCAAGCCUGUCUUGUCAAACCUCCUCAUAGAAAGGAAGAUAUUUCAAUACGUGAUGUUUGUCGGGCACCAAAACUUUAGGCACAAGACGAGGAAAGAUGGGAAGGACGUAAGGUUGCGACUCCCAGGCCACUGCUAGCAAGUUCCGAUCAAUCAGCAGAGUAUGAUGAUGCCGCUAAUUAGUAGAAAUCACAAAUAACUUGUUGAGCCGGUCGAAAUUAGCUUUCUCCACCCACUCUACCGGUCGACAUUUCUUCUUCUUUCUUAUAGCACACAAAGUAAUAAACAUCAGCACCGAGCCGACUAUUAAUAAAGUUGUAAGGAUAAAACAAGAGGGAACUAUGGUUUAUUCUACCCAGAAUUGCCAACGAACGAUGUAGUUCGAACUCUCAACCCGGGUGCUCGAGUGAACCAGCCUAGGGCCCCGAAACAACGACAUACCCCUUAGUCGCACCCUUAGUAGAAUCCGAAAGCCCCGUCACCAACUGAAGAGAAGGGAUAUGAGCGGACAAGCUGAAUAUCCUUUUCCCACUCAUCUUCAUAGUGUAAAUAAAAAAGAUCUCUAACAAAGAAAGAUCCAAGUGGAAUAACAUAUCCAAAAUGGUGCACCCCAUCAGUACUCUGACCGCAUUCGGAUGAAGAAAUGAUGGGGAAAUCUUCGUGAAGUGAAGAAACUGCCUAAAAAGUGAAGGAAGAGGGAAGUGGAGCCCAGUAUUAAAUUGCUCUUUUCUGAAGACGGUAGCAUUGAAGGGUUCUUUUUCGGUAGACACAGGGCCACCAUCCAUCAAGUGAGUAGCAAGGCUAUUCAGAAUGCGGAAGCGCUCCCUAAACUUUCACUCAGAAAGGAGUUCGAUAAGCUUUUCCGAAUGGGUGCAACCGACACUUUCUCUUGGUCGGUCACCUUUCUUGCCCUUACCAACCGCACUAGUAGAAGCAACACCCCCUAUUGUUGACAUGUUGAAGUAGUGGGUUGAGUAAGACCUACAUGACACAACGACCGAUUAUUAGAAAGUAGUCACCCGGCCCUUUUAUCGAUAUGUAGUACCUCAGAAGUGCAACGAUCAGCCAACACAAGCCUAAGACCCACAUUUGGAUGGAGCGCUUGACCCAGCCUAUAGGGCAAGCCCUAACCAAGGUUCCCCCUAACCAUACCCUACAGAAGCCUUAAACCAAAAAGCCUAACAACAGCCCUAAAAAACCAAUCGAAAGGCAAAAAAAACCCUAGUUCUAGCAAACGUCGUCAAUUGAACCACCGACGGUGACUCCUCUUCCCAAAAAAACACCAAAACCCUACAUCCUACACUCAGCGACGUCCAUAUUGAACCUAGAAAAGCCACAAAUAAUCCCAAUAGCAAUUAAGUGCACCGUUGAAAAUAAAAAAAAGUCAAUACGAGGGAUUAACGACUUACCUAAAACCAGGAGAAGCACCGUUGACAGAAACGAAGUUCACCCUAAAGCAGAACUGGUACAGAUGGUGGGACCACCAGGAAAAUGAACGGUAAACCGAAAUCACUGUAGCAUAGAAUGCAAAAGCAGUCAGAGAAGAUGAAUGAAAAAACAACGAGGAAAGCGACAAUUGGAGUUGCAGUGGGCAUAAUGCAGAUGAAAUGAAGGCAAGAUGAAGAGUUGCAAGAGCAAGAAAUGUCCAAAAAGGGUGUUCCUAAAGGCCUGGAAUCUCUAAUUUAUAGGGGACCAAAACCCUAGGGAUCCCAAAAAACAGGCCACCUAGGAAUGCGUCCCAAAGCGACACGUCGCCUAACAAAUGCCUCAGUGGAAGUGACCUUCACUUAAUGACCGACACAUGUCUCGCUGACACUAGGGGAUCCCAAUGGCCAUUUUUAGCCAGUCCACUUCUACCCGAACACGGAUGCACGUGCUAAAGGGGGCAUUGUGGGGGCCCUUCCCCACACAUCUGUCCACAUAUGCCUCCAUGUAUCUGGACAUGUGGCAACACCUCUCCUGGACCACGUGUCACUCCCUCCAUUAUUGUUCGGACAACCACCGAGGCAUACAAGAACAUUUUAUCCGAACCAUAUAGGCCCAUUGAGAGUAACACACCUUAUUGACAACCCCAAAUCCUCUCUAAUAUGUGAAACGAUGGCAUUCUAACACUGGAGUGGCUGAUGGGACCUUUCCCCUCCAUACGUCAACAUCGAUGGGCAAUCCUACCCAUCACCCAUACCUUCAACAGGCUAAAAUGACGACAAGUUGCGUCAUGACGCGUCGUCUGACACAGCCACUAAUCGCCUGACAACUGCAAUAAUUGUCAUGUCACUUACUACACAAUCAUUAUUGCAGCAUUAGGUCAAGGCGCCAGCUAAGUACUACUAUGCUUUCCCCCUUUGAGCACUAUAAAAACCCCACUGAAACAGGACUCAGGUACGCAACACCAAGGACUCUCUCAUCAACUCUCUCUCAAAGGGUUUCUACCCAUUUCAAUAUCUGACUUAGGCUUUGGAGAGUAUGUCUGGACAACCUAUUCGGGCAUCCUUUGAGUAGGGAAGAAGAAAGCUCAGUCUCUAGCAGCUAGGUAGAAGCUUUUGCUGCCACAACCAAGGGAAGAAUCCAUCCUUAGUUGACCUAGUAUCAACACCACCCAACACCCUCUCCACCCUCCGUCUCUUUCUAGUUUCCAGCGUGCGGCUAUCACCCUCCCUCUCUUCCCAGUUCUAGGAUGCGCUUCUCUCACACUUCUUCUAUUCCCAGUCCCAAUGUGCACCUCUCCGUGGCGCCAGCCAACACACCACCCCCCUUCCCCUUCUUUCUUCUACUACUGCCCAUAUUCUCCUUUCUUUUUUAGUUGAACUCUCUUUCUUCUUCCCACCUCUAUCAUGAACACCUCCCAUUUCAUUUCCUGGUUUUUUUAUUAUAUAUUUUUUAUAUUUUCAUUUACCUUUUCCAUCCAUAGCCAUUCUUUUAUAUAUAUAUAUAUUUGUUUUUUUAAAACUUUAUGAUUUUUAAAACUUGUGAUUUUAAUUUAAAUUAAUGAAAACAUCAUAAUUUUAAAUAAAUUUCUAAUUUUAAAAUAAGUUUUUGAUUUAAAAAUAAAUUUUAAAAUUUUAAAUUUUAAAUUAAAUUUUUUAUCUUAAUUUAAAUUUCUACUUUGAAACUAAUUUUAUGAUUUUCAAAUAAUUUUAUGAUUUUCAAAUAAUUUUUAAUUUUUAAAUAAUAUAUAAGUUAAUAAUUUUAAUUUUAAUAAUAUAUAAAUUAUAUAUUUAUAUUGUCACCGAUUCGACUGUAGUUCGAUCGCUAGUCCAACUAGUGAAUCGUGAACCAACAACUUUUCCGAUUCAAUAAUCGGUCUGAUUUUGAAAACAUUGAUUUUAACUAAUUAAUUCUAAAAGUUAAUAUAAUUUUACAUUUCUAAAAUGGAAAAUUUGAAGUGUAUGUAAAUUGACACUUAUUUGUUUAUUUAUAAAUUUUAUUUAUUUUUAUAUACUUAAAAAAAUUUAAAUAAAACAAAUGGCUACCUCACUCCAUUUGGAAUUAAGAAUAAGAAUGAAAAUAUACUUAAAUAGUAAUUAAGACGAGGGUGGGAAAGGUGAGCCACCUAUACCCGAGGCUUUACAUCCCUAGAUAUAAAGCUUUACUAGGUCAUGUUGGCAUAUUUUUCUUAAUAACAGAUUAUUAAGAGACACUCUAUUUGAUUGGUGAAUUGAGUAUGGGAAAUUUUAGGAUGUCAAGUUCAUAUUUAUUGAAUUUACAAUCUCAAUCAUGAAUAUGUAUAGUGAAAUCUAAACCGUUGAAUGUUGAUAUAAAUAAAUAAGAUCAUUGUACAAAUAAAUGAUAUCAAAAUAUAAAUGAAUGAAAUUAAAGUACAAAGUAAUGAAAAUUAGAUACAAAAUAUUAGGAAUAGAUUAAAUAUAUGACAAGUUGGAAUUAGAUCCAUAUUUUGGUAGGUAAUAAUGAUUCAAUAUCGGUACGGAUACUCAUGAUUUAUAAGGAGUGAGUAGUAGAUGGCAAGACCAAUUUUGUUUUGAAAAGGGAAGUAAAUGGGAAGGCACAUUUACCAGACUUGACAUUAAAUAAUUUUAUAAGAAUUUAUUUUGAUUUUGAACAUAUUUUAUAUUUGUCUAAUUGUUUUUAUAUAGUAUUUUUAAUAAUAAUUUAAAAUACGAAGAACACUCUAAAAUUUUUUAUAUUAUAUAUAAAUUUAUAAUAUUUUUACGAAGAAACAAGCUCAAAAAAUUCUUAUAAAGAAAUCCAUUUUUUAGAAUUAUUAUCAAAAUUAAGCUGUUUUUAGAUAACUAUUUUUAAAACAUAAAUAAAUAAUAGUGGUCGACAGUUUACAUUAGCGAGAAGGGCGAUUAUUAUGUAGGGAUAGUUGGUCCUUUCCAUUUCUGAAGUCGGACUGUAUGAGGUAUAAUUUAUUUUGCCUACUUCUAUCCCCCCUGGGCUGAAAAUUAGAAGACGGCAGAGCUCGGCCCCAUACCUUGUCCUGACUCCUAUGUGCUUUAAAAUCACAUUAUGCACAUGCAUCGAACUCAGCCUUUGAAGCUCUUCCAUCACUGCAUUCAGAUGACCUAGCCAAAUCCAGUGGAGCUAGACACUUGAAGAUGUCACAACUGGUUUUCCUUGAAAAGGAAGCCCAGAUUUCUUUUAAGUACUUGGACAUUGUCACAUCUACCAAAGGCUUGAAAACGUUGGUUUGUCAUGAUUUUUUCCACUUCUUAAGGGUGGGUUGGUUUGUUUGUUUGUUUUUUUAAGUAUAAAUCUUUAUAUUUCUCCAUUGUUACAUUGUUACAUCUACGUAUCAAGCUUUGGAAGUGGCAUGCCUAAGUAUUCUUCCAUGGGAAAGCUUUUGGAGCAAAUAAUUAAGCAGGAGAUUUUAUUUUUUAACCUAUUAAACAGGUGUUUAGCAAAUCAACUUAAUAACUUAAAAGUGACUUAAUAACUUAAUUUUAAGUAAUUAAAUAAAUUAAAUAUAUUUGAUAAAAUAACUUAAUGAUAUAAUUUAAAAGUAAAAAACAACUUUAAGUAAUAAAUAAAAAUAAUUAACUUAUUUUUAAGUUCAUAUUUUUAUCUUCAUUUAUCAUAAUUAUUUUCAUGAUAUCCUUUAUUAUUUCAUGACAUUUAUUAUUACUCGACAUCAUUUAUCCUCGUUAUAAUUUAUAAGAAUAAAUAUAUUAAUUUGAUGUUUUAAAAUAAAUUGUAAAUUAAUUUUAUUAAAUAAUAUUAAUACUUAAAAUAAGAAUUAAAUAAUAAGUUUUAAGUUAACAAGUAUAAUUUAAGUUAAAAAAUCAAGUUAAGUGAUUAAGCCCCAAAAUCAAGUAUAUUGUAAGCAAAUGUUCUAAAUUUUUUUGUACCAUAUCUAGUUUACUUUUUAAAAUAUUUAGGCAUAGUUUACUUUGCCCACUCUCCUGUCCUUCAUUGGCUGAAAAUUAGAACACGUCAAGUCCCCAUACCUUAUCCCUGGUGGCUUUUAAUGCACAAUGCAUCUCACCCUUGGAUGCUCCUAUCACUGCAUUCAACCAAAUCCAGUGGGGACAAACUUGGUGAUGAUUUGUGCAACUGUUAUUCCUUGAAAGUGAAGCCCACAAUCUUUUUAUUUUUUUUAUUUUUUUAUUUUUCAGGUUAAUGAAUGGCUACUAAUGGAUUUUCAACAACCAGUCACACGUUAAAUAGAUAAGUAUGUAUGACUGAGAUGAAUGAGAAGUGGAUUAUGUAUAUUACAAAGGAAAUUAAUUGUAAAAGAAUUUUAAAUCAAGAAUUUAAAAAAAAUAAUAAAAUCAAGAAUUUUAAAUAAUAAAAUUAAUUUGAAAAAGAAUUUUAAAUUGAGAAUAUAAAAAAGAACAAUCUUUUCAAAAAAAAACUUAAGAAAUUUGGAAAGGAAUUAAAUCAAGAAUUUAAAAAAAAAAAAUUCUAAAUAUUUUUUAACUUCAAAAAGAAAAAAAAAAAAAAGCAUUUCCAAAUCUUUCUAAGAUUUUUAAACUUGUUAAAUUAUUUUUUUUCUUUUGUACAAUAUGAUUUUAAAAAGUCCACAAGAUUUUCUCUAAUUUAUUCUUAUUGGGGAGAGUUCUUUCCAAAAUUCAUGUGUUUAAACUUUAAAUCAUUAUUCUUCAUAAUUAACCCUAAACUCUUAGAUUGCUUUUUUAUUUUUUAUUUUUAUUAUUUUUUUUAAUUUUUGAAUUUGUAUAUUCUCAAAGUGUUGAAGAGUCCACGAAAGAAUAUAGUAGCGCUACAUUGCAAGCAUGAGAUUAGGUAUAAAUUUUAAAAUAUAGAGAGUAGAAACCAUCAUGUAAAUUAAAAAAUUAAAAUCUGAACUAAAAAGGAAUUAAUAGAUAACCGCCCUUAUAUAUAUAUUACUCCCAGAUAAGAAACUACAAGAAUUUAAAUAUAUAAAAAAGAAAAUUAUAUUUUAUUUUUUCUUUAAUGGAAAACCGCUUUCAUUUAUAGGUAGGAUUAUUCGUGGAUUGAACAGUAGUUAUAUAAAUGUAUAUUGCCAUUAGAAUAGGAUUGAAAGUUAGGUUGCAUGCAGCCAUGGGCGCUAUAUAUAUACCCCUCUUCUAUUCUAUUUUACAAGGCAUUCAUAUAAGGUGCUGCAAAUCGCUUAUCCUAUUCAAGUUCUUCCCCUGGGUUUGUGUCUCCAGAAAAAGAAAAAUGGUGAAAUUGAUGGCUACUUACACGGUGAGACCAGCCAAGGAGACACCGGGAGGCUACAGGUGUUUAUCAGACAGUGAUCAAGUUAGAGCUCUCACUCACGCACCCACCAUCUACUUUUACCCACCUGUAAAUGUGUCCCUUGAAUCGGCCACCGAGAUUCUGAGGCACUCUCUGAGUGAGGCGUUGGUGAUUUUCUAUCCACUAGCGGGACGCUUGCACUGGAUUGGUGGAGGCCGCCUUGAGCUCGACUGCAAUGCCUUGGGGGCUCUACUCAUUGCAGUCGAGUCCGAAGCCAAAAUCGAUGACUUUGGAGACUUCCGACCAACCCAAGAGAUCCGAGCUCUCAUCCCUUCAGUGGAUUACAACAAGCCAAUCCAUGAACUACCAUUGAUUUUGGUGCAAAUCACCAAGUUUAGCUGUGGUGGCAUGAGUCUGGGCUUGGGAAUAUCGCAUACCAUCGCUGAUGGCCUUAGUGCAUUACACUUCAUCUCGGAGUGGGCUAAAAUCGCCCGUGGCGAGCAAUCCAACAGCCCACCAUUUCUGGAUCGAUCAGUUUUACUAGCCCCGGAGCAUUUGAGUGCACCAGUGUUUGAUCAUCCAGAGUAUAGUACUCAACCCCUCUUGAUUGGGAAGCAGGAUAACAUGGAAGAGCGGAAGAGAGAAACCGCUAUACUCAAGUUAAAAUUAAGCAAAGAUCAAGUUGAGAAACUGAAGGACAAAGCCAAUAAGGAUCGGAGUGCUUCCAACAACAAGCGCCCCUACACCAGGUAUGAGGCUGUUGCUGGACACAUCUGGAGGAGUGCGUGCAAGGCACGUCAGCAUGAAAGCCAGCAGCCAACAACAUUGUCUAUCAUCGUUGAUGCUCGCAAUCGCAUGGAGCCACCAUUGCCACCCAGAUAUUUCGGAAAUGCUACUUUUCGGGUAACUGCUGAAAGCAUGUCAGGGGAGCUAGUCUCCAAGCCAUUAGGCUAUGCUUCAGGUAAAGCACGACAGGCAAUAGAGAAGGCAACGCAUGAAUAUUUACAAUCAUCUCUUGUGUAUGUGAAAUGUCAGGAGGAUGUAACUCAGUUCAGGAAUUUCCACACUGUUGGAUGCGCGAAAGGAGCUUUCUAUGGGAACCCUAAUCUUGAGAUCACUAGCUGGGCCAGACUGCCCAUUUAUGGGGCGGACUUCGGGUGGGGCCAGGAAAUUUACAUGGGUCCAGGAGCAAUUGGCUACGAUGGGAAGGUUUUCGUAUUUCCCGGCCAGGGCCUAGAGGGAUCAUUCCU
RNAcentral lists this long non-coding RNA (23987 nucleotides) under Vitis vinifera (wine grape). RNAcentral's name for it is "long non-coding RNA (VVIN_LNC003472)". The record is from RNAcentral. Lineage: Eukaryota; Viridiplantae; Streptophyta; Magnoliopsida; Vitales; Vitaceae.